AUCCUGUCUACCAACAGUGGCCAAUGCCAGGUGCCCGAGAGGGAGUGAACCUAACAGGUGCUUAUGGCAGAGUGUCUCACAGACCACCUCCCCUCCUACUGGCCAUCUCAUAGCAACCUUGUGGCAACUACAGAAGAUGCUUACAUUAAAAAGCUGGAAAUGAGGACAGCUAGCACCAUGUGACCAACCAACUCUAUACAGACCAUCACCACUGUGACGAACAUGGUAUAAGGAUCUGAACAGAAGGGCUCAACGGACUACCAGUAGUCAACUGUAAUACUAAUAUCAGUGCUAACCCAUAUUUGUAUGGAAUUUUUCAAAAAUUAUUCAUGUUCCAGUAUGCAAAAUUCAUAUUCUAUACUAAUUGCUACAUUAUCUAUUAUAUCUUUAAGAUGCAUACAAAUGUAAAAUAUAUGUUAUAA
Mauremys reevesii (Reeves's turtle) is the source of this 422-nucleotide long non-coding RNA. RefSeq lists it as uncharacterized. NCBI's taxonomy places the organism in Eukaryota, Metazoa, Chordata, Testudines, Geoemydidae. The transcript is spliced from 3 exons. The record is from RefSeq and is a predicted model, not a curated record.